UCUUAUCACAUUGAAACACUGGUUAUUGUCUGAUCACCGACGUUAAGCAACAUUGAACCUGAUCAGUACCUAGAUGGGUGAAUGCUUGGGAAUAUAAGGUGUUGUAAG
This is a non-coding RNA of Acanthosepion pharaonis, 108 nucleotides long. Lineage: Eukaryota; Metazoa; Mollusca; Cephalopoda; Sepiida; Sepiidae. The record is from the annotation of a GenBank genome assembly.